CGGACGGGUGAGUAACGCGUGGGGAACCGUGCCCUGUACAGGGGGAGUAACACUUAGAAAUAGGUGCUAAUACCGCAUAAGCGCACAGUAUCGCAUGAUACAGUGUGAAAAACUACCGGUGGUACAAGAUGGACCCGCGUCUGAUUAGCUGGUUGGCGGGGUAACGGCCCACCAAGGCGACGAUCAGUAGCCGGCCUGAGAGGGUGAACGGCCACAUUGGGACUGAGACACGGCCCAAACUCCUACGGAAGGCAGCAG
RNAcentral lists this ribosomal RNA (258 nucleotides) under uncultured bacterium. RNAcentral describes it as "partial 16S ribosomal RNA". It matches the Rfam family "Bacterial small subunit ribosomal RNA", at positions 99 to 354 of the family's 1533-position model. The record is from RNAcentral.